CACGUAGGCACCAAGCGUUGUCCGGAUUUAUUGGGCGUAAAGAGCUCGUAGGCGGUUCAGUAAGUCGGGUGUGAAAACUCUGGGCUUAACCCAGAGCCGCCACUCGAUACUGCUGUGACUUGAGUUCGGUAGGGGAGUGGGGAAUUCCUGGUGUAGCGGUGAAAUGCGCAGAUAUCAGGAGGAACACCGGUGGCGAAGGCGCCACUCUGGGCCGAACCUGACGCUGAGGCGCGAAGGCUAGGGGAGCGAACGGG
This 254-nucleotide ribosomal RNA is filed under the name uncultured bacterium. RNAcentral's name for it is "partial 16S ribosomal RNA". It matches the Rfam family "Bacterial small subunit ribosomal RNA", at positions 524 to 776 of the family's 1533-position model. The record is from RNAcentral.